UUCUCAACAAACCAUAAGGACAUUGGUACUUUAUACUUCAUAUUUGGAGCAUGAGCAGGAAUAGUAGGAACAUCAAUAAGAAUACUUAUUCGUGCUGAACUUGGCCAACCCGGAUCUCUAAUUGGGGAUGACCAGAUUUAUAAUGUUAUUAUUACAGCUCACGCAUUCGUAAUAAUUUUCUUUAUAGUAAUACCUAUUAUAAUUGGUGGAUUUGGUAAUUGACUUGUUCCACUAAUAAUUGGUGCACCAGAUAUAGCAUUUCCACGAAUAAAUAAUAUAAGUUUUUGAUUACUACCACCUUCACUAACCCUUCUUCUUACAUCUUCUAUAGUAGAUAAUGGUGCUGGUACAGGAUGAACAGUUUACCCUCCUCUAGCAGGAGCUAUUGCACACGGGGGUGCAUCUGUAGAUCUAGCUAUUUUUUCACUGCACUUAGCAGGUGUAUCAUCUAUUCUUGGUGCAGUGAAUUUCAUUACAACAGCAAUUAAUAUACGAUCAGAAAGUAUAACUUUAGAUCAAACACCUUUAUUUGUAUGAUCUGUAGCUAUUACAGCAUUACUUCUCCUUCUUUCACUUCCAGUUUUAGCAGGAGCUAUUACUAUAUUAUUAACAGAUCGAAAUUUAAAUACAUCAUUCUUUGACCCUGCAGGAGGGGGUGACCCAAUUCUAUAUCAACAUCUAUUUUGAUUCUUUGGACACCCAGAAGUUUAUAUUUUAAUUCUACCGGGGUUCGGAAUUAUUUCACAUAUUGUAUGUCAAGAAAGAGGAAAAAUUGAAUCAUUUGGAACAUUAGGUAUAAUUUAUGCUAUACUAUCAAUUGGACUAAUAGGAUUUACUGUAUGAGCACAUCAUAUGUUUACAGUAGGAAUGGAUGUUGACACACGAGCAUAUUUUACAUCAGCAACAAUAAUUAUUGCUGUACCUACAGGAAUUAAGGUAUUUAGAUGAUUAGCUACAUUAUAUGGAACUAAAUUCAAGUUCAAUCCACCAUUAUUAUGAGCUCUAGGAUUUAUUUUCCUAUUUACAAUUGGUGGAUUAACAGGAUUAGUAUUAGCAAAUUCAUCACUUGAUAUUGUAUUACAUGAUACAUAUUAUGUAGUAGCCCACUUUCAUUAUGUAUUAUCUAUAGGAGCAGUAUUUGCAAUUAUAGGAGGUGUCAUUCAAUGAUAUCCACUAUUUACAGGAUUAACUAUAAAUAAUACAUGAUUAAAAAUCCAAUUUACAAUUAUAUUCAUUGGAGUAAAUUUAACAUUCUUUCCUCAACACUUCCUAGGAUUAGCAGGAAUACCUCGACGAUACUCUGACUACCCAGACGCAUAUACAUCAUGAAACGUAGUAUCAAGAAUUGGGUCUACAAUUUCUAUUGUAGGAAUCAUUAUAUUCAUUGUAAUUAUAUGAGAAAGAAUGAUUACAAACCGAGCAAUUAUAUUUAGAGCUAACAUAAGAAGAUCAACAGAAUGACUACAAAAUAACCCUCCUGCAGAACAUAGUUACUCAGAAUUACCAUUAAUCUCUAGAU
Long non-coding RNA from Schistocerca gregaria, 1519 nucleotides. RefSeq lists it as uncharacterized. The record is from RefSeq and is a predicted model, not a curated record. Lineage: Eukaryota; Metazoa; Arthropoda; Insecta; Orthoptera; Acrididae. The transcript has 2 exons.